GACGUAGGGCGCGAGCGUUGUCCGGAUUUAUUGGGCGUAAAGAGCUCGUAGGCGGCUUGUCGCGUCGUUCGUGAAAACCCGGGGCUCAACUCCGGGCUUGCGGGCGAUACGGGCAGGCUAGAGUUCGGUAGGGGAGACUGGAAUUCCUGGUGUAGCGGUGAAAUGCGCAGAUAUCGGGAGGAACACCAGUGGCGAAGGCGACUUCCUGGCCUGUUCUUGACGCUGAGGCGCGAAAGCGUGGGGAGCAAACAGG
Molecule: ribosomal RNA, 253 nt
Filed under: uncultured bacterium
Lineage: Bacteria
Description: partial 16S ribosomal RNA
Rfam family: Bacterial small subunit ribosomal RNA
Source: RNAcentral